GUGUCAGCAGCCGCGGUAAUACGAAGGGGGCUAGCGUUGCUCGGAAUCACUGGGCGUAAAGGGUGCGUAGGCGGGUUUUUAAGUCAGAGGUGAAAUCCUGGAGCUCAACUCCAGAACUGCCUUUGAUACUGAGAAUCUUGAGUACGGGAGAGGUGAGUGGAACUGCGAGUGUAGAGGUGAAAUUCGUAGAUAUUCGCAAGAACACCAGUGGCGAAGGCGGCUCACUGGCCCGUAACUGACGCUGAGGCACGAAAGCGUGGGGAGCAAACAGGAUUAGAAACCCGAGUAGUCC
Molecule: ribosomal RNA, 292 nt
Filed under: uncultured bacterium
Lineage: Bacteria
Description: partial 16S ribosomal RNA
Rfam family: Bacterial small subunit ribosomal RNA
Source: RNAcentral